This 496-nucleotide ribosomal RNA is filed under the name uncultured bacterium. RNAcentral describes it as "partial 16S ribosomal RNA". It matches the Rfam family "Bacterial small subunit ribosomal RNA", at positions 29 to 507 of the family's 1533-position model. The record is from RNAcentral.
AUGCACGCUGGCGGCGUGCCUAAUACAUGCCCGUCGAGCGAACGGACGAGAAGCUUGCUUCUCUGAUGUUAGCGGCGGACGGGUGAGUAACACGUGGAUAACCUACCUAUAAGACUGGGAUAACUUCGGGAAACCGGAGCUAAUACCGGAUGAUAUUUUGAACCGCAUGGUUCAAAAGUGAAAGACGGUCUUGCUGUCACUUAUAGAUGGAUCCGCGCUGCAUUAGCUAGUUGGUAAGGUAACGGCUUACCAAGGCAACGAUGCAUAGCCGACCUGAGAGGGUGAUCGGCCACACUGGAACUGGGACACGGUCCAGACUCCUACGGGAGGCAGCAGUAGGGAAUCUUCCGCAAUGGGCGAAAGCCUGACGGAGCAACGCCGCGUGAGUGAUGAAGGUCUUCGGAUCGUAAAACUCUGUUAUUAGGGAAGAACAUAUGUGUAAGUAACUGUGCACAUCUUGACGGUACCUAAUCAGAAAGCCACGUCUAACUACGUG